Molecule: ribosomal RNA, 497 nt
Filed under: uncultured bacterium
Lineage: Bacteria
Description: partial 16S ribosomal RNA
Rfam family: Bacterial small subunit ribosomal RNA
Source: RNAcentral
GACGAACGCUGGCGGCGUGCCUAACACAUGCAAGUCGAGCGCUGCAUUCGGGUCUUUUUACCAACUGGCUGAGCAGCGGACGGUAGAGUAACUUGGGGUGCGUCUGCCUCUGAGCGGGGGACAACAAUUGCAGACGAAUUCUCAUACCCCAUAACAUCUUUAAACACAAGGUUUAAGCUUGAAAGAUGCAAGUGCAUCACUCAAAGAUGAACCCGCGUUGUAUUAGCUAGCUGGUGAGGUAAAGGCUCACCAAGGCGAUGAUACAUAGCCGACCUGAGAGGGUGAUCGGCCACAUUGGGACGGAGACACGGCCCAAACUCCUACGGGAGGCAGCAGUAGGGAAUCUUCAGCAAUGGCCGCAAGGCUGACCGAGCAACGCCGGGUGAGAGAAGAAGGUAUUCGGAUCGUAAAAGUCUGUUAGUAGUGAAGAACGUUGGUGAGUGUGGAACGCGCUUCGAGUGACGGUAACUAGACAAAAAGGGACGGCUAACUACGUG